AGUGAACCACCUGAUCCCUUCGCGAACUCAGAAGUGAAACCUCUUAGCGCUGUUGGUAGUGUGGGAUUACCCAUGUGAGAGUAUGUCAUCGCCAGCU
This 97-nucleotide ribosomal RNA is filed under the name Acinetobacter baumannii. Lineage: Bacteria; Pseudomonadati; Pseudomonadota; Gammaproteobacteria; Moraxellales; Moraxellaceae. The record is from RNAcentral.